Molecule: ribosomal RNA, 575 nt
Filed under: uncultured organism
Description: bacterial SSU rRNA
Rfam family: Bacterial small subunit ribosomal RNA
Source: RNAcentral
AAAGACCUCGGUCGCUUUGGGAGGAGCUCGCUUACUAUCAGCUUGUUGGUAGGGUAACGGCCUACCAAGGCUAUGACGGUUAGGGGGUGUGAGAGCAUGACCCCCAGCAUUGGCACUGAAACACUGGCCAAACACCUACGGGUGGCUGCAGUCGAGAAUCUUCCACAAUGGGGGAAACCCUGAUGGAGCGAUGCUGCGUGCGGGAUGAAGGCCUUCGGGUUGUAAACCGCUUUUGUAGGGGACGAAAUUUUUGACGGUACCCUUUCGAAUAAGAGGUUGCUAACUCUGUGCCAGCAGCAGCGGUAAUACAGAGACCUCAAGCGUUAUCCGGAUUUACUGGGCGUAAAGCGUCUGUAGGGGGUUUAUUAAGUUCCAAGUAAAAUUUCAAGGCUCAACUUUGAAUUCGCUUGGAAAACUAAUAAACUGGAGUCUAGCAGAGGUGCAUGGAACUUGUGGUGUAGGAGUGAAAUCCGUUGAUAUCACAAGGAACACCAAAGGCGAAGGCAUUGCACUGGGCUAGCACUGACCCUGAGAGACGAAAGCGUGGGGAGCAAAACGGAUUAGAUACCCGUGUA